GUUCCGGCUAAACUUCGUNNCCCAGCAGCCGCGGUAAUACGAAGGGACCUAGCGUAGUUCGGAAAUUACUGGGCUUAAAGAGUUCGUAGGUGGUUGAAAAAGUUAGUGGUGAAAUCCCAGAGCUUAACUCUGGAACUGCCAUUAAAACUUUUCAGCUAGAGUAUGAUAGAGGAAAGCAGAAUUUCUAGUGUAGAGGUGAAAUUCGUAGAUAUUAGAAAGAAUACCAAUUGCGAAGGCAGCUUUCUGGAUCAUUACUGACACUGAGGAACGAAAGCAUGGGUAGCGAAGAGGAUUAGAUACCCUCGUAGUCCAUGCCGUAAACGAUGUGUGUUAGACGUUGGAAAUUUAUUUUCAGUGUCGCAGGGAAACCGAUAAACACACCGCCUGGGGAGUACGACCGCAAGGUUAAAACUCAAAUGAAUUGACGGGGACCCGCACAAGUAGUGGAGCAUGUGGUUUAAUUCGAAGAUACGCGCAGAACCUUACCAACACUUGACAUGUUCGUCGCGACUCUAAGAGAUUAGAGUUUUCGGUUCGGCCGGACGAAACACAGGUGCUGCAUGGCUGUCGUCAGCUCGUGUCGUGAGAUGUUGGGUUAAGUCCCGCAACGAGCGCAACCCUCACUUUUAGUUGCCAUCAUUAAGUUGGGCACUCUGAAAGAACUGCCAGUGAUAAGCUGGAGGAAGGUGGGGAUGACGUCAAGUCCUCAUGGCCCUUACGUGUUGGGCUACACACGUGCUACAAUGGUAUCUACAACAGGAAGCAAAACUGCGAAGUUAAGCAAAUCCCUAAAAGAUACCUCAGUUCGGAUUGCACUCUGCAACUCGAGUGCAUGAAGCUGGAAUUACUAGUAAUCGUGGAUCAGCGUGCCACGGUGAAUGCGUUCCCGGGUCUUGUACACACCGCCCGUCACACCAUGGGAGUUGGUUCUACCUUAAGGCAAGGUUUCAAACCCUUGACCACGGUAUAGUCAGCGACUGGGGUGAAGUCGUAACAAGGUAGCCGUA
This 1007-nucleotide ribosomal RNA is filed under the name uncultured bacterium. Its description in RNAcentral is "bacterial SSU rRNA". It matches the Rfam family "Bacterial small subunit ribosomal RNA", at positions 490 to 1504 of the family's 1533-position model. The record is from RNAcentral.